This 463-nucleotide ribosomal RNA is filed under the name Pedobacter sp. NR10. RNAcentral describes it as "bacterial SSU rRNA". It matches the Rfam family "Bacterial small subunit ribosomal RNA", at positions 28 to 488 of the family's 1533-position model. Lineage: Bacteria; Pseudomonadati; Bacteroidota; Sphingobacteriia; Sphingobacteriales; Sphingobacteriaceae. The record is from RNAcentral.
GAUGAACGCUAGCGGCAGGCCUAAUACAUGCAAGUCGAACGAUAUUUUCCAGCUUGCUGGGAGAGAAAGUGGCGCACGGGUGCGUAACGCGUAUGCAACCUACCUUCAUCAGGGGGAUAGCCCGGAGAAAUCCGGAUUAAUACCGCAUAAAAUCACAGGAUGGCAUUAUCCAAUGAUCAAACAUUUAUGGGAUGGAGAUGGGCAUGCGUGUCAUUAGCUAGUUGGCGGGGUAACGGCCCACCAAGGCGACGAUGACUAGGGGAUCUGAGAGGAUGGCCCCCCACACUGGUACUGAGACACGGACCAGACUCCUACGGGAGGCAGCAGUAAGGAAUAUUGGUCAAUGGAGGCAACUCUGAACCAGCCAUGCCGCGUGCAGGAAGACUGCCCUAUGGGUUGUAAACUGCUUUUAUCCGGGAAUAAACCUCUGCUCGUGAGCAGAGCUGAAUGUACCGGAAGAAUA